GUAAGAGUGCGAUGUUGGGGCGGCUCAAUCAAAUGAUGUAUAUGUCUUCAUGAGACUAUCGGAUGAACUUUUAUAUCUGAUUGAGCCGUGCCAAUAUCACAAUUCUUUUC
Ananas comosus (pineapple) is the source of this 110-nucleotide microRNA precursor. NCBI's taxonomy places the organism in Eukaryota, Viridiplantae, Streptophyta, Magnoliopsida, Poales, Bromeliaceae. The record is from Rfam.